GGUUCUGCCCAGGAACCCUAAGAUUGUGGGAGAAGUCUGGGAUCUUCUGAGUGAUAAUAUUCAUCUGUGUCAAAUGCAAACUAUUGGGCACAGCCCAGGAAAAGAGAAGGCUCUGAAACAAAUUGGCUGAAUGAAGAAAUCAAUCAACACACUGCUAUUGUGUUUAUCUGGGACCGUACUGCAAAUAGGGUGGAGAUGAAGACAAGUUCUCGCCCUCUGGCUACACUGGCACGUGGGAACAGCCUUCUCUUGGAGGACUGUUGCCAGACAGAGGUAUGUGGGCACCUAGGCAUUGCCAUUGACCUCAAGAUGAGA
This 315-nucleotide long non-coding RNA is filed under the name Homo sapiens (human). Its description in RNAcentral is "HSALNT0217653". The record is from RNAcentral. Lineage: Eukaryota; Metazoa; Chordata; Mammalia; Primates; Hominidae.